AGAUCUCUCUGUUCGGCUUCUUUUCGGCGAGCAGCGGCAAUGUCGGCAGGAUAAGUGAACUGCACGCUGUAGUAGAGGUCAGACUGCUCUU
This 91-nucleotide small RNA is filed under the name Allorhizobium ampelinum S4. Its description in RNAcentral is "Agrobacterium vitis S4 Rhizobiales sRNA Atu_Ti3". It matches the Rfam family "Rhizobiales sRNA Atu_Ti3". The record is from Rfam by way of RNAcentral. Lineage: Bacteria; Pseudomonadati; Pseudomonadota; Alphaproteobacteria; Hyphomicrobiales; Rhizobiaceae.